AGUGAACGCUGGCGGUAGGCCUAACACAUGCCAGUCGAACGGCAGCACAGUAAGAGCUUGCUCUUACGGGUGGCGAGUGGCGGACGGGUGAGGAAUACAUCGGAAUCUACUUUUUCGUGGGGGAUAACGUAGGAAAACUUACGCUAAUACCGCAUACGACCUACGGGUGAAAGCAGGGGAUCUUCGGACCUUGCGCGAUUGAAUGAGCCGAUGUCGGAUUAGCUAGUUGGCGGGGUAAAGGCCCACCAAGGCGACGAUCCGUAGCUGGUCUGAGAGGAUGAUCAGCCACACUGGAACUGAGACACGGUCCAGACUCCUACGGGAGGCAGCAGUGGGGAAUAUUGGACAAUGGGCGCAAGCCUGAUCCAGCCAUACCGCGUGGGUGAAGAAGGCCUUCGGGUUGUAAAGCCCUUUUGUUGGGAAAGAAAAGCAGCAGGUUAAUACCCCGCUGUUCUGACGGUACCCAAAGAAUAAGCACCGGCUAACUUCGUG
RNAcentral lists this ribosomal RNA (492 nucleotides) under uncultured bacterium. RNAcentral's name for it is "partial 16S ribosomal RNA". It matches the Rfam family "Bacterial small subunit ribosomal RNA", at positions 29 to 507 of the family's 1533-position model. The record is from RNAcentral.